CCUACGGGAGGCAGCAGUGAGGAAUAUUGGGCAAUGGGCGCGAGCCUGAACCAGCCAAGUAGCGUGAAGGAUGAAGGCCCUACGGGUGGUAAACUUCUUUUGUAAAGGAAUAAAGUGAGGCACGUGUGCCUUUUUGUAUGUACGUUAUGAAUAAGGGUCGGCUAACUCCGUGCCAGCAGCCGCGGUAAGAUGGAGGAUCCGAGCGUUAUCCGGAUUUGUUUGGGUUAAAGGGAGCGUAGGUGGGUUGGUAAGUCAGUUGUGAAAGUUUACGGCUCAACCGUAAAAUAGCACUUGAUAUUGGGAGCCUUGAGUACGGGUGAGGUAGGCGGAAUUCGUGGUGUAGGAGUGAAAUGCGUAGAUAUCACGAAGAACACCGAUUGCGAAGGCAGCCUCCUAAACUGCCACUGACAUUGAUGCGCGAAAGUGUGGGUAUCAAACAGGAUUAGAUACCCGGGUAGUC
Molecule: ribosomal RNA, 460 nt
Filed under: uncultured bacterium
Lineage: Bacteria
Description: partial 16S ribosomal RNA
Rfam family: Bacterial small subunit ribosomal RNA
Source: RNAcentral